GAGAACUCAAUUUAUAUAUUAACAUGUGACACUUGUGGCAUUCAGUAUGUGGGAGAAACAAUGGACAAAUUUAAUAUUCGGCUCAAUAACCAUCGUUCAUCGUACAAAACCAACAAAAACUGUCCUCUCACAAGACAUCUUCGUUCAACGAAACAUCCUUUUGAUAAUGUUACUUUCCAAAUUAUAGAAGUCAACACCGAGUGGGACACCACGGCGAGAAGGAGAAGAGAAAACUUUUGGAUCCACCAACUCCACACUUUAGAACCUGAUGGUCUUAACGAAAAAGACGAAAAAAGAUACAGGAAAGAUAAAGAAUAAUUUAAAACAAAGCAUCGUCCUUUUUAUCCCGUAAUAUUGGCCAAUGGACGUUGCUAACUUCAACUACCAAUUAUGUAUUUUCAAGGCAGCUAAAUCCAAGUGCAACAUAUACAUUGAGCUGCAAAAUUUUCUUAUUUUCAAGGCAGCUAAAUGCA
This 473-nucleotide long non-coding RNA is filed under the name Mytilus galloprovincialis (Mediterranean mussel). The record is from RNAcentral. Lineage: Eukaryota; Metazoa; Mollusca; Bivalvia; Mytilida; Mytilidae.